Non-coding RNA from Urocitellus parryii (Arctic ground squirrel), 3177 nucleotides. Lineage: Eukaryota; Metazoa; Chordata; Mammalia; Rodentia; Sciuridae. The record is from RefSeq and is a predicted model, not a curated record.
CAGGACCAUGUUGGCAUCCAUCUGUUAAUUUCUGGCUAAAGAACUAGCCAGUGAUUCCAUGAGAUGGGCCUGGGGGCACGAGGCCCAGGUGAGGCACUUCUGCAGCUUAGGGUCCCUCCCCUAACCCCACCCUCAAAGGCCCUGGAGCUCAGGCCUGUACUGCCUGCCAAGGUCUUUCCUGGAACCCAGCAGAGGACAGAGCCCCUCCCUGCCUGCCCUGGCACUCUCCAGGCACAGGGUGUCCCUCUAGGCACCUUACAGACACCCCAGGAGGCUGGAGCUGAGACAGCCCCCCUUUCCAAGAGCCUUUGCCCUGGGAUGCUGCCAUUCUCCCAAUGUCCCCACCAGGCCAGAAGAGACAGCAGGCAGGCACAGGGGAAGAAGGAAGAAUUUUUUGGCUUCCUGGGUCUUUGCUGUGGCUUCAGAUGGAAGGGUGGGGAUGGCAGAAAAGCAGAGUCACAGGCUUCAGAGCAUCACACCACCUGCUUCUCCCUCCCUCCCAGGAGGAAACCUUCAGGGGCCUAGUGGUUUUGAGGGGAGGGGACAGGAAGAGACUCUGAACUCUGGGUCAACUGAGGACAAAGAGCGCUUGCCCUAUAUCUUAUUUCUUCCAGGAUUCUCUUCCUCUGCUUCCUACCCACCAUCACCCCAGAACAAACUCAUAUCUCUGUCUACAACUAAGGGAAACGGGACACGUACCCAACGGGACGUUUAUCAGCCGCUGUGUGCCGAGCCACACCUGUUGGAUGCGGAGAGGAGAGCGCCCCUCCCAGAAAGACAACUGAGUGCUGACUGCUGGUCCAGAAGAUUCCACUCCCUCCGAACUGACGAGGGGACAAAGGGUUUAUAUGCUGCGCACCUACCUGAGGAAAGUUCUGUGUUGGGUCCUGCUAAGGAUGUCAUGAAAAGUUUGACACAAUUCCUAAAAUCCUUUAUUCUUCCUCCUUCCUACAUCCACAUUUGCUGUGCCAUGUCCCUGACAGGAGUGCUUGUCCUCCGUGUCUAGCCAUCCCUUGGCUUCAGCUCAUAGGGGCCACCAACCAAAUCUGAAUCCUCUUCCCCAAGCCCAACACACUUGGUUUGUACCUUUCCCACAGCGUGGCCAGCGGCCUGUCUCCWGUUCUAGUGAUCUGUUUACUAAUCCUGUUCUAACCAGAUUAGAAAGUCCUUGAGGCAGAAACUAAAUCUGGUUCUUUGAAGCCUCCCCCAUCCCCCCAACUCAUCCUUCGCAGGCCCUGCCUGGCACGGGAGGUGGUGUUCAAUAAAUACUGGGUGUAUUGAAAUGAUUUCCUGCCCUUGGGCAGUUUGUAGGCCAGUUGAAGAGACAAACACCCGGUGUGUGAGGUUAAAUAAUAACUGAAGCCAGCAGGUGGUAAGUACCAAAUGUGCAUAACAGAUAAAGGGACUCAAAGCAAGAAGAUAGUGAUAUGGGAGAAAGCUCCUAAGAGGUUCUAGAUCUUGAGCCCUGAGUGUGUGUGUGUGUGUGUGUGUGUGUGUGUGUGUGUGUUUGUGUAGGAGGAGGAGGAGAGGGGAGGGUGGAGUGGAGGUGACUCAUUCUGGUUGACAUCACCACAAAACAGUCUUCGUGCUAGGCACUUUACAUGCAUUAUCUUUCAAAUUUAAGGAUGGGGGAGGGGUUUGGGAGGGUUGUAAGGGAUAGUGCCCAAUCCUGGCCUGCCCAGAGCCAGUGAAAGUGUAGGAGCAACCUUGAAUGUGGGCUCCCCGCCCUCAGUCCCUGGGCACUGCCUGUUCCCUGGCCUGCCACUCCUACAUACUACACCCAAGAGCACCCGGCACUGCCCAGUUCUGGAUGGAUGCACUCUGGUCCUGCCCUGGUGAACAAAUGGCUGUGUGACCUUGGCUGGGGCAUCCUGCUGUCCAUCAACCCUGCUCUCAUCUGCCCACCUCCCCUGAGUUACCCACCAAGGAUCACGAAGAAUCUCUCUGAGGUGGGUCCUCUUCUCCUUGCCACCCUGGUUUCCCUGGCACUUCAGCAAUAUUCCUGGGUCCAGCUGGAUGUGUCUAUAUCAGCCUGAAACCUGGAGGCUAGCAAGACCCUGGAACACACUCUCAGCAGUGGAGUUGGAUGGUCAGGAUUGCUCUUCAUGGGCUCAGCUUGAUUCUUGGCCAGCUGGCCUGCCUGCUGCCCCUCACCUUCUAUCCAGAGGGAAAUUCCUCACCCGCUGGACCACACCCGCUCUUGAGGACCUCCCGAGCUCUCUGGGCAGAGCGGAAGCCAGACAGAGACCGGACUCCAAGGCGACAAUCCCAGCCCUGUGUGUGCCAGGAGCCCCCAGAGGCAGGGGCCCAUGCUGCAGGAGGUUAGCUGCCCCCCAACACUCAGGAGCCUGGAGUGGGCUGCAGGGACAGAGUGCUUCUCAAAGAAGGAGAAGGAGGAGGAGGAGCCCCCGUGGAGUACGUGACUCCUGCCCCUCUGGCUGCACGCUCCAGUUACCAGGACAGAGACCCCUCCCCACGCGUCCCCAGCCUUCCCCUGCUUCCUGCUCUGGCUGCUGGGAGGCCCUGUCACCACACAUGCGCGAGCACGCACUCCGACACACGCGCCCCUCCCAGGCACCCCUGAGAGGACCAGCUGCGGCUGGGGGGUGCACUGAGUGCUGCCAGGUCCUCAGAUCCACAGCCUCCCCCCAUCCUCGCCCCCUACUGCUGAGCUGCUUGGAGGUUUAAAGCAAAACAUGACUGUCUUUCCUGCUGCUCAGUGGCAGCAGCGCUGCCGGAGGGUUAUUUUUAGCAGGGAUGCGAGGAAGGCACAUUUCUCCUUGACUGUCACCAGGGACAACCCUCACCCCCCAGCCAAGACUCGCCUGGGGAGGCAGGUUCGGAAACCCCCCUCCCAGGAAGGGGAAAUGGUGGGUUUUCUGUUCUUUCAAUUCAUCAGGCCUCGAAGUCAAGCUAGGGGCCGCUCUGAUGGGAAAUUCUAGGUUCCAAAGCCCAUGGUUUCCCCCGCCAUCCCUGGUCUCUGUGUCGCUACAAAUUUGAGGAGCAAGAGGUACGUUGUGUCUAAAGGCAGGUCGCCCAGGCUGCGGGUGUUGGGGUCCUGGGGCAGCCGGUGGUUACAGCCAGGCACUAUAGAUUGCAUGCAGUGCCCGGCUUGUGGGGGAGGGGUUCUCACAGAUGCUGGCUUGUUAAUUCAUUAAACUGCCUGUCUGGACUAUA